UACGUAGGGUGCAAGCGUUGUCCGGAAUUAUUGGGCGUAAAGAGCUCGUAGGCGGUCUGUCACGUCGGCUGUGAAAACCCGAGGCUCAACCUCGGGCCUGCAGUCGAUACGGGCAAACUAGAGUACUGCAGGGGAGACUGGAAUUCCUGGUGUAGCGGUGAAAUGCGCAGAUAUCAGGAGGAACACCGGUGGCGAAGGCGGGUCUCUGGUCAGUAACUGACGCUGAGGAGCGAAAGCAUGGGGAGCGAACAGG
Molecule: ribosomal RNA, 253 nt
Filed under: uncultured bacterium
Lineage: Bacteria
Description: partial 16S ribosomal RNA
Rfam family: Bacterial small subunit ribosomal RNA
Source: RNAcentral